RNAcentral lists this ribosomal RNA (465 nucleotides) under uncultured bacterium. RNAcentral's name for it is "partial 16S ribosomal RNA". It matches the Rfam family "Bacterial small subunit ribosomal RNA", at positions 28 to 507 of the family's 1533-position model. The record is from RNAcentral.
GACGAACGCUGGCGGCGUGCUUAACACAUGCAAGUCGAACGGAAAGGCCCCUUUGGGGGUACUCGAGUGGCGAACGGGUGAGUAACACGUGAGUAACCUGCCCUUGACUUCGGGAUAACUUCAGGAAACUGGGGCUAAUACCGGAUAGGAAUCCUUGCUGCAUGGUGGGGGUUGGAAAGCUUCGGCGGUUUUGGAUGGACUCGCGGCUUAUCAGCUUGCUGGUGGGGUAGUGGCUUACCAAGGCUUUGACGGGUAGCCGGCCUGAGAGGGCGACCGGCCACAUUGGGACUGAGAUACGGCCCAGACUCCUACGGGAGGCAGCAGUGGGGAAUAUUGCACAAUGGGCGGAAGCCUGAUGCAGCAACGCCGCGGGCGGGAUGACGGCCUUCGGGUUGGAAACCGCUUUCAGCAGGGGCGAAGCUUGUGGUGACGGUACCUGCAGAAGAAGCACCGGCUAACUACGUG